This 85-nucleotide transfer RNA is filed under the name Felis catus (domestic cat). It matches the Rfam family "tRNA". Rfam says of the family: Transfer RNA (tRNA) molecules are approximately 80 nucleotides in length. The record is from Rfam by way of RNAcentral. Lineage: Eukaryota; Metazoa; Chordata; Mammalia; Carnivora; Felidae.
GCCUGGGUGGCUCAGUCGGUGAAGCGUCCGACUUCGGCUCGGGUCACGAUCUCGCGGUUCGUGGGUUCAAGCCCCACGUCAGGCU